RNAcentral lists this unclassified non-coding RNA (288 nucleotides) under fungal sp. RNAcentral's name for it is "partial internal transcribed spacer region". The stretch from base 1 to 46 matches the Rfam family "Eukaryotic small subunit ribosomal RNA", at positions 1786 to 1831 of the family's 1831-position model. Lineage: Eukaryota; Fungi. The record is from RNAcentral.
AAGUCGUAACAAGGUAACCGUAGGUGAACCUGCGGUUGGAUCAUUACCAAUCGAAGGGGGCGGGGCUAAGUUUAGGUGGACUUUGUCCACUUUUACGUGGCUUUGCCCCUUUUAUUAACCCCUUGUGAACCAUGAACGUAUUUUGGUAGCCUGCCUUUUUUAGGCUGCCAGCCUGUAAACAAACCCAAAGUCAUUUUGUAUUAUUACAUGUCUCCCAUUAGAUUCUUUAAAGUGAAUCUAGUUUUUAACAAAACUUAACAACUUUUGACAACGGAUCUCUUGGCUCUC